UACGGAGGGUGCGAGCGUUGUCCGGAAUCACUGGGCGUAAAGGGCGCGUAGGUGGCUGCGCAAGGGGGCGGUGAAAGCCCGGGGCUCAACCCCGGGUCUGCCGGACCGACUGCGGAGCUUGAGCAUACUAGGGGCAAGUGGAAUUCCGGGUGUAGCGGUGGAAUGCGUAGAGAUCCGGAAGAACACCGGUGGCGAAGGCGGCUUGCUGGGGUAUGUCUGACACUGAGGCGCGACAGCGUGGGGAGCAAACAGG
RNAcentral lists this ribosomal RNA (253 nucleotides) under uncultured bacterium. RNAcentral's name for it is "partial 16S ribosomal RNA". It matches the Rfam family "Bacterial small subunit ribosomal RNA", at positions 524 to 776 of the family's 1533-position model. The record is from RNAcentral.